RNAcentral lists this ribosomal RNA (491 nucleotides) under uncultured bacterium. RNAcentral describes it as "partial 16S ribosomal RNA". It matches the Rfam family "Bacterial small subunit ribosomal RNA", at positions 28 to 507 of the family's 1533-position model. The record is from RNAcentral.
GAUGAACGCUGGCUACAGGCUUAACACAUGCAAGUCGAGGGGAAACGACGGGGAAGCUUGCUUCCCCGGGCGUCGACCGGCGCACGGGUGAGUAACGCGUAUCCAACCUGCCUCUGACUGAGGGAUAACCCGUCGAAAGUCGGCCUAAUACCUCAUGGCAUCGUCUGCGGGCAUCCAACGACGAUUAAAGAUUUCAUCGGUCAGGGAUGGGGAUGCGUCUGAUUAGCUUGUUGGCGGGGUAACGGCCCACCAAGGCUACGAUCAGUAGGGGUUCUGAGAGGAAGGUCCCCUGCAUUGGAACUGAGACACGGUCCAAACUCCUACGGGAGGCAGCAGUGAGGAAUAGUGGUCAAUGGGCGGGAGCCUGAACCAGCCAAGUAGCGUGCAGGAUGACGGCCCUAUGGGUUGUAAACUGCUUUUAUGCGGGGAUAAAGUGAGGGACGUGUCCUUCAUUGCAGGUACCGAAUGAAUAAGGACCGGCUAAUUCCGUG